This is a long non-coding RNA of Ricinus communis (castor bean), 814 nucleotides long. RefSeq lists it as uncharacterized. The transcript is spliced from 2 exons. The record is from RefSeq and is a predicted model, not a curated record. Lineage: Eukaryota; Viridiplantae; Streptophyta; Magnoliopsida; Malpighiales; Euphorbiaceae.
AUUCCCUUUCAGCAUUCGUAAUUUAGUCUAAAUAUUAAUAUAAAUUCAAAUUUUAAGUUCCUUUCUUUAUUUAUAAUUGAAUGAAUAUAACAUUUUAUGAUUUUAGAGUAAAUUAUAAUGUUUUUAGUUAGUGCAGGGAAGAUGACACUGUCCUAUUUGCUUUCUUAAAAUUAAGAUCACGGUAGAUUCAACCGAUGGAGCUCUUUUGUUUUCGUCAGUGUUAAUAAAUAACGGCCACUGUAGCCAUAACACUUUCCGAGAAUCUUGCAAUAUCAUGUUUAUUGAUUGAUUUUGGGGUUUAAGAAUUUGUAGCUGAUGAAGGAGAGGAAGGAGGUCACGUGAAUCCUUAUUAUAAUUAGCUAGGCAAAGGCAAAGCACAUGAAUUCAUAUAUUACACAUCCUCUCCGGUUGAAGAGACAAAUUUCAAUGGACAUGGAUGUAACCGCACGAUUCAUCAAAUGGCGGUGGAAUAAGGAUGCAAAACCAGUUUCAAAAGGAAGGUUCUUCAGAAGGCACUCCUCCAUCAAUAUCAUGGAUUGAGAUUUCCAGUAGCAUGAAUUCUCAAAAGAACUGAUAGAUAGAUUUAUGGGUGGAUGAAGCCAUAGUAAUUUCAAAUUGUAAAGGAAAUUAAAUGACAGACCAAAACCUUCACCUACGUAAAAGUCCAGGCCUUUCGAUCAACCCCACGAAUUUAUAUAUAUUUGCUUCUAGUUACAGCUUUACCUUCUUCUGUAUCAAAAUAAAAUUCUUACUGAGCCCGUUGCAUCAUUUUCUGCUCAAGAAGUUGCAAGGAGAAAAUAUAUACUGCUUAUGU